AAACAGGAUUAGAUACCCUGGUAGUCCACGCCGUAAACGAUGUCUACUUGGAGGUUGUGGCCUUGAGCCGUGGCUUUCGGAGCUAACGCGUUAAGUAGACCGCCUGGGGAGUACGGUCGCAAGAUUAAAACUCAAAUGAAUUGACGGGGGCCCGCACAAGCGGUGGAGCAUGUGGUUUAAUUCGAUGCAACGCGAAGAACCUUACCUACUCUUGACAUCCAGAGAACUUUCCAGAGAUGGAUUGGUGCCUUCGGGAACUCUGAGACAGGUGCUGCAUGGCUGUCGUCAGCUCGUGUUGUGAAAUGUUGGGUUAAGUCCCGCAACGAGCGCAACCCUUAUCCUUGUUUGCCAGCACUUCGGGUGGGAACUCCAGGGAGACUGCCGGUGAUAAACCGGAGG
RNAcentral lists this ribosomal RNA (399 nucleotides) under Vibrio sp. H2D. RNAcentral's name for it is "bacterial SSU rRNA". It matches the Rfam family "Bacterial small subunit ribosomal RNA", at positions 770 to 1169 of the family's 1533-position model. Lineage: Bacteria; Pseudomonadati; Pseudomonadota; Gammaproteobacteria; Vibrionales; Vibrionaceae. The record is from RNAcentral.